UAACCGUUGCUUUGGUGUCCACUCGAAA
Molecule: small RNA, 28 nt
Filed under: Bombyx mori (domestic silkworm)
Lineage: Eukaryota; Metazoa; Arthropoda; Insecta; Lepidoptera; Bombycidae
Description: piRNA piR-bmo-1357723
Source: RNAcentral